UGCCAGCAGCCGCGGUAAUACGGAGGAUCCAAGCGUUAUCCGGAAUCAUUGGGUUUAAAGGGUCCGCAGGCUGUUUUUUAAGUCAGAGGUGAAAUCCUACAGCUCAACUGUAGAACUGCCUUUGAUACUGGAAAACUUGAGUUAUUGUGAAGUGGUUAGAAUGUGUGGUGUAGCGGUGAACUGCAUAGAUAUUACACAGAAUACCGAUUGCGAAGGCAGAUUACUAACAAUAUACUGACGCUGAGGGACGAAAGCAUGGGUAGCGAAGAGGAUUAGAUA
Molecule: ribosomal RNA, 279 nt
Filed under: uncultured bacterium
Lineage: Bacteria
Description: partial 16S ribosomal RNA
Rfam family: Bacterial small subunit ribosomal RNA
Source: RNAcentral